AAAAGAUAUGCACAAGCUCAGCUGGGUGUGGUGGCUCACACCUGUAAUCCCAGCACUGUGGGAGGCCAAGGCAGGCAGAUCACUGGAGGUCAGGAGUUUGAGACUAGGCUGGCCAACAUGGUGAAAUCCCAUCUCUACUAAAAGUACAAAAAUUAGCCAGGCGUGAUGGCAGGUGCCCAUAAUCCCAGCUACUCAGGAGGCUGAGGCAGGAGAAUCGCUUGAACCUGGGAGGCAGAGUUUGCAGUGAGACAAGAUUGCACCACUGCACUAUAGCCUGGGUGACAGAGCAAGACUCUGCCUCAAAAAAAAAAAAAAAGAUAUGCAUAAGCUCUAGCUACCCCACUCCUUUUUCUGUGAAUGUGACCUUAUUUGGAUAUACGGGUCUUUGCAGAUAUAAUUAAGUUGAGGAUCUCAAAAUGAGAUAAUGCUGGAUUUAAUCCAAUGAGAGAGAUCUGAGACCCAAAGAAACAGGGGAGACAGUCAUAUGAAGAAGGAGGCUGCUAUGGUUUGGAUGUGGUUUGUCCCCACUAAAACUCCUGUUGAAAUUUGAUCCCCAGUGUGGCAGUAUUGGGAGAUGGGAAGUGUUUGGGUCAUGGGAGCAGGUGUCUCAUGAAUAGGUUAAUGCCCUCCCAGUGGAGAGCAUUCUCAUUCUUGUGGGACUGGAUUAAUUACUGAAGAGCAGGUUGUUAUAACAGUGAGUUCAGCCUCCUAGACUCUCUCUCUUGCUUCCUCUCUCACCAUGUGAUCUUUUGGCACACACCCGCUUCCCCUUCCUCUUUCUUCCAUGAGUUGAAGUGGUGUGGGACCCUGACCAGUUGCAGCUACCCAAUCUUGAAUUUCCAGCCUACAGAACUGUGAGCUAAAUAAGCCUCUUUUCUUUAUAAAUUACCCAGUCUAAAGUGUUCUGUUAUAGCAACAAAAAUAAUGGACUAAGAAAAUGGUAGGAGACGCCCUGGCUUGGUGGCUCAUGCCUGUAAUCCCAGCACUUUGGGAGGCCAAGGCAGGCGGAUCACCUGAGGUCAGGAGUUCAAGACCAGCCUGACCAACAUGGUGAAGCCCCAUCUCUACUAAAAAUACAAAAAUUAGCCGGCCUUGGUGGCACGCACCUAUAAUCCCAGCUCCUUGGGAGGCUGAGGCAGGAGAAUUUCUUGAACCCAGGAGGCAGAGGUUGCAAUGAGCUGAGAUUCUGCCACUGCACUCCAGCCUGGGUGACAGAGCAAGACUGUGUCUGGAAAAAAAAAAAAAAAGUGAAAAUGGCAGGGGUUGAAGUUAUGAUCCCACAAGCCAAGGAGCUUCAAGAGCCACCAGAAGCAGAAAGGAUUCUCCUUGCAGCUUCUGGUGGCUGGAAGGAUUCUCCCCUAGAGCCUUCGGAGGGAGCAUGGCCCUGCUGACACCUUGAUUUCUGAAUUGUGGCCUCU
This 1418-nucleotide long non-coding RNA is filed under the name Homo sapiens (human). Its description in RNAcentral is "HSALNT0073874". Lineage: Eukaryota; Metazoa; Chordata; Mammalia; Primates; Hominidae. The record is from RNAcentral.